This 83-nucleotide non-coding RNA is filed under the name unclassified sequences. RNAcentral's name for it is "c-di-GMP sequence". It matches the Rfam family "c-di-GMP-II-GAG riboswitch aptamer". The record is from Rfam by way of RNAcentral.
GCGUGAGGCGAACGCAGUGAUCCGUCGGCGAUGCACGGUCGCCGAGUCGGCGGGGAGCGAGUGGCGAGACCGACGCCUCCUCU